RNAcentral lists this long non-coding RNA (660 nucleotides) under Bos taurus (domestic cattle). Its description in RNAcentral is "long non-coding RNA NONBTAT006167". Lineage: Eukaryota; Metazoa; Chordata; Mammalia; Artiodactyla; Bovidae. The record is from RNAcentral.
CUGGUCUAUUAAACACUGAAUAGGCGACAGAAUUUCCUGUAAGUUGCUUAUCAUGGGUCAGUCAGACCGCUGUUCUGCUGAGUUCCACCAUGUAGCAGCAUAACCCGUAGGUGCUGUCAGGAAGUGGAGGCCCUCCUUUCUCAUCUAGGACUUCAAAGGAAGUCGUCAUUUCUAAAUGCUUCAUGUAUCUUCAUGAUUUUCUAUAUUAUUUCUGUUAAACUCAGCUAUAGUUAUCCAGAAUCUCCUACCAUGAGUAAAUAGUUGGACUUAUUAUUUAAAUCUAGUCGGGGAAAAAGUUCCACCUCCCAGGGCAGUUAGGAGAUAUGAAGAAGAUACAUUCACUUUUAAGUUAUUGAAAUGAUGUGCAAUGUUCUAAACGAUAGCAGCUAAUACUAGUUGAGGUAAUUGUCAUGGUUUGGCUGUUUAGCUUAAAUUUGAACUGUGGCUUAAUUUUACACAUGUUGUUGACAUACAUUGUUUCUAAUUGUUUUCUAUGGUUUAAAAAUUCUGCCUUUAAAAUAAAUUCAGGAAAUUCACCUGAUAUACUUAUUUUGACCUAAGAAAUAUUUAUAUUUGUAUCAGUAAUUGAAUUUUUAGCCAGUGCUCCAAAAUCAGGAAUUUACUGUUUUGAAAUAAAGCAACUUUUCUUUUCCUUGGACC